Molecule: ribosomal RNA, 448 nt
Filed under: uncultured Planctomycetota bacterium
Lineage: Bacteria; Pseudomonadati; Planctomycetota
Description: bacterial SSU rRNA
Rfam family: Bacterial small subunit ribosomal RNA
Source: RNAcentral
GCUUAGAGAGGGGUCAAUGUCCUAUCAGCUAGUUGGUGGGGUAAUGGCCUACCAAGGCAAAGACGGGUAGUCGGCCUGAGAGGGUGGUCGGCCACACUGGGACUGAGACACUGCCCAGACUCCUACGGGAGGCUGCAGUCGAGAAUCUUUCGCAAUGCCCGAAAGGGUGACGAAGCGACGCCGCGUGUGGGAAGAAGGCCUUCGGGUUGUAAACCACUGUCGGGAGUUAAGAAAUGUAAGGGUGCUAAUAGUAUCCUUACUUGACUGAGGCUCCGGAGGAAGCCACGGCUAACUCUGUGCCAGCAGCCGCGGUAAUACAGAGGCGGCAAGCGUUGUUCGGAAUUAUUGGGCGUAAAGAGCACGUAGGCGGCCUUGUAAGUCAGUUGUAAAAGCCUUCUGCUUAACAGAAGAACAGCAGCUGAUACUGCAAGGCUAGAGUGCGGAAGGG